GGCGGCGUGCUACCCUGCAGUCGAACGAGAACGCUUCCUUCGGGAAGCUAGUACAGUGGCGAACGGGUGAGUAACGCGUGGGAAUCUACCCGGUAGUGGGGGAUAACCCUCCGAAAGGAGGGCUAAUACCGCCUACGUCCUACGGGAUAAAGAUGGCCUCUUUACAAUGCUAUCGCUUCCGGAUGAGCCCGCGUCCUAUUAGCUAGUUGGUAAGGUAACGGCUUACCAAGGCAACGAUGGGUAGCCGGUCUGAGAGGACGAACGGCCACACUGGAACUGAGACACGGUCCAGACUCCUACGGGAGGCAGCAGUGGGGAAUAUUGCGCAAUGGGGGAAACCCUGACGCAGCAACGCCGCGUGAGUGAUGAAGGUCUUCGGAUUGUAAAGCUCUGUUUUCUAGGACGAUAAUGACGGUACUAGAAGAGGAAGCCACGGCUAACUACGUGCCAGCAGCCGCGGUAAUACGUAGGUGGCGAGCGUUGUCCGGAUUUACUGGGCGUAAAGGGUGCGUAGGCG
This 517-nucleotide ribosomal RNA is filed under the name uncultured bacterium. RNAcentral's name for it is "bacterial SSU rRNA". It matches the Rfam family "Bacterial small subunit ribosomal RNA", at positions 38 to 577 of the family's 1533-position model. The record is from RNAcentral.